Mus musculus (house mouse) is the source of this 4464-nucleotide RNA transcript. It is a transcript of the gene named carbohydrate sulfotransferase 7, with no coding region annotated. Lineage: Eukaryota; Metazoa; Chordata; Mammalia; Rodentia; Muridae. The transcript has 3 exons. The record is from RefSeq and is marked validated.
GGCUGGAAAGUGUGAGAAUUGUGGGCAAGAAACAAUGAUUGACAAAUACAAAAUAAAUAGUUUUCAUAUAUAAGGAAUACAAGAGAAGGGCUGGAGAAUUAGUUCAGUGAUUAAGACCACUUACUGGAGACCCAAGUUUGGUUUGAAACACCUAUAGCUCUGAUUACACCCAUCUGCAACUCUUGUUUCUGGUGAUCCAGUGCCCUCUUCUGGAUUCUGCUGGGACCAAAACAGGAAGAAAAAAAGUGUCAUUCUCCAGGUGGGGAAUCAUGUCCAGUCACUGGAUGCCUUCUGUACACAUUGUGACUCUCCCUUGCCUGAAGUUGGUUGGUUAGCAAACUUAAAUUCGUUUUGAAGGAGUUAGGGAAAGGUGGAGUACACUCAGUGCACCCCAGAGGGUGUCCCUGCCCUGUGGCAGCCCUGUCCAGCUCUAGCCCGGCGUUGAGCAAACCCAGGAGCAGAGCGUAAGUGGGCGGGGAGAAGUUUCGGGUACCAUGGGCAGGGCCUGCAGCUGCUGAACCGGCCAAUGAGCGCUCUCAAGAGGCUGAGCCAAGAAGGAGGCUGAGUGUGCCGCCACCACUGCCUCCCAAGUUUCCUGUAGUGGAUACACCGCCCGGCUGCUCCACUCCGCUCCACCCAACAUUGAGGGAGACCCGAAGAGGCCGGAGCCGAGGACUUUGGGCUGGGUUUUCUGGACAGAACCAGCAGGCGCCUACUCUGCUCUGGGUGGGGAGAGUGAGGAUUCGGUGAACUAUGAAGGGCCGGCGGCGGCGGCGCCGAGAGUAUUGCAAGUUCACGCUGCUCUUGGCGCUGUACACGCUUUUGCUACUUCUUGUCCCCUCUGUACUGGACAGCCACAGCGAGCAGGACAAGGGCAGGAACUGCCCCGGCCUGCAGCGCAGCUUGGGUGUGUGGAGCCUGGAGGCGGCGGCGGCCGGGGAACGUGAGCAGGGCGCUGAGGUGCGGUCCCUGGCCGAAGGAAACCCGGAUCGAUCCCCCGGGUCCCCCGGCAACCUCAGCGCCGUCGGUGAGGCGGUGACCCAGGAAAAGCAACACAUCUAUGUGCAUGCCACCUGGCGCACCGGCUCGUCCUUCUUGGGCGAACUCUUCAACCAGCACCCGGACGUUUUCUACUUGUACGAGCCCAUGUGGCAUCUGUGGCAGGCACUGUAUCCGGGCGACGCGGAGAGCCUGCAGGGCGCACUAAGAGACAUGCUGCGCUCCCUCUUCCGCUGUGAUUUCUCUGUGCUGCGCCUGUACGCGCAGCCUGGGGACCCUGGGGAGCGAGCACCGGACUCGGCCAACCUCACCACGGCCAUGCUUUUCCGCUGGCGGACCAACAAGGUCAUCUGCUCGCCGCCUCUGUGCCCCGCCGCGCCCCGGGCACGCGCGGACGUGGGACUCGUCGAGGACAAAGCCUGCGAAAGUACCUGCCCGCCCGUUUCGCUCCGCGCCCUGGAGGCCGAGUGCCGCAAGUACCCGGUGGUGGUCAUCAAAGACGUGCGGCUACUGGACCUGGGAGUGCUGGUCCCUCUGCUGCGUGACCCAGGCCUCAACCUAAAGGUGGUGCAACUCUUCCGAGACCCUCGGGCCGUGCACAACUCGCGCCUCAAGUCGAGGCAGGGACUGCUGCGCGAAAGCAUCCAGGUGCUGCGCACGCGCCAGAGGGGCGACCACUUCCACCGGGUGCUGCUGGCGCAUGGAGUGGAUGCCCGUCCGGGAGGCCAGGCCCGGGCUCUGCCCUCGGCGCCACGCGCUGAUUUCUUCUUAACCAGCGCGCUUGAGGUGAUCUGUGAAGCGUGGCUUCGCGACCUGCUAUUCACCCGCGGCGCGCCCGCCUGGCUGAGGCGUCGCUACCUGCGGCUGCGUUAUGAGGACCUGGUGUGGCAGCCCCAAGCCCAGCUGCGCCGCCUGCUGCGCUUCUCUGGGUUGCGGACACUCGCCGCGCUUGAUGCCUUCGCAUUCAAUAUGACGCGGGGCUCGGCCUACGGCGCCGAUCGUCCCUUCCACUUGUCUGCGCGGGACGCCCGAGAGGCUGUGCACGCCUGGCGCGAACGUCUGAGCCAAGAGCAGGUGCGCCAAGUGGAAACCGCCUGCGCCCCUGCCAUGCGUCUGCUUGCCUACCCUCGAAGUGGGGACGAACGCGACAGGAAGACCGUCAGGGAAGGGGAGACACCACUGGAGACCAAGGCCAAUUGGGCUGUGUAAUACCCUGAUCCCUGAACCCUGCCCCGGGGCGUAUUCAGGUAUGGUUGAACAUAACCAUAAUCGCAGUCCUCCCAAGUCUAAGGCAGGAGAAUCACAAGGUCAGUGGCCAUAAAAAGGUGAACUCAGCAUGCUGCCCCCGCACUGGAGAGGCUGCACGGUGGAGGCGAUCUAUCACACUGUGAGACACUGGGACUGAUUUGGUAUCAACUGCUGUGCCAUUCUCCUGGUCAGGAGCAUCACAAGCUGUUAAGUAAUGACAGACACCUUGGCUGAGAUGAAGUUUCCAGAAAGGAAGUAACAGUGCAAUGUGGAUAUUUGUGACCACAACAUAGGAAAAGCUGUACUUCCCAGGCUGAACUUGGCUCAGCUUGAGCCAUUUCAACAAGGCAUCCUCACAAUAAUGAAGAGAUGUGAUCUGGUUUCCUUUCACAUCAGCAGAUGUCUGGACAAAACCAUCAAUGUGAAUAAGGGCCAAGUGCAGUUGUGUCUCUCUUGAUUAAAUUACUUCAUAUUAAAUAAAAGGUCUGGCUGGUAUUGUUUCCUAAAGGCCUCACCCAGCUCUCCUUCAAUUAGCAGUCUUCCUGUAGAACCAUUUUCUAAACAAUUUUCUCUGGUGGGUAAGAGAGGUGUAAUAAACUAAAACUUUGUUUUCAAAUUUUUCUAUCUAGUGGUUUUGUAAUUCUGAAGUUAAAUGGCUGUAGUAUCAUACUAAUGACAGGAUUGGGGAGGGGAGUAAGCAGAUUUUGGUAAGUGGCUCAACUAUGAAUUCAAUAAAGGUAGUCUAUAUAAAAGGGUUAUAAGAACCAUGAAGGAAACUAUAUAUAGGAUUCAAAAAGUUUACUUUUCAAAUUGUAUUUUACAUGUGUGGGUGGUUUAUCUACAUGUAUGUCUUUGUGCCAUCUGCAUGCCUAGUUCCACUCAAGGCCAGAAAAGGGAGUCAGAUCCCUUGGGACUAGAGUUACAGAUGGUUUUAAGCUUCCAUAUGGGUGCUGGGAAUCAAAUCUCAGUCCUCUGGAGAGAAGCCAGUGCUCCUAACCACUAAGUAAUCUCUAUCCCACUUAGAUUCAAUAAUUUUAGCAGCCAUCCUGUAAGAAACCAUUAAGUUCCAAUGUCAUAUUUAUACCCUUCAGUCUCACAGAUUCAUGUUGCCAACUCCUGGUGAACAUUCCUCAGGAUUCUGCACUCAAAGCCUGGGAGACUCUUAGUGGCAAUAGGAGUCCUAGGCUAAAGCCAAAUUUAAACUGUUUCUUUCAACUCUGAAAAACCCAAAAAAGAUGUUGUCAUUGAUUUUACAGACCCUAGUAUCAGCCCUGUCUGUGCAGUUGAAGCUGGUCUCAAACUUGACCCUGCCUACUAAGUGUGGCAUUGUAGGUGUGUACCAGUAUGUCUAAAUGAUACCCUAUUCUUCUUUGUUCCUUUUUUGUGUAUGUGUGUUUGCCUGUAUGAGUACCACGUGUGUACCACAUUUGUGCAAUACUGGCAGAAUCCAGAAGAGGUUAUUGAAUCUCCUGGAACUGAAGUUACAGGUGGGUAUAAGCUGGUCGCUGUGGGAGCUAGAAAUUGCUUCCCAAGAUCUUCAUCAAGAGUAGUAAGUCUUCUAACCCCCAUGAUACCUAUCCCAGUGCUGAAAAUUUAGGACUAUUCAACUCAGGAAUUGGCAAGGGUUUUCCUACUAAAAGGUCAAGUAGUAAAUAGCUCAGGUGUUAUGUGCCAUAGAAUCUGUAUCAUUAACUCCUUAGCUCUCGCACUGUCACAUAAAGCAACUCUAGAUAGCAUGCUAAACUUCAUUUACAAAUACAAGCUGUGGUCUGGAUUUGCUUAGGGUCCAAGUAGAUCUUGCCAACUAUGGUUUGAAUGAAUUCCCCAGGGGGGAAUGGUUCUAAAAAUGAAGUAACUGCUCAGUGAGAAAAAGAAACAUGAUGGAAAUAAGAUCCCACUGUAUACACAUAGCAGAGGGCACUCUGAAAACACAAAACUCGUUAGCUCAGCCAGUUAAUCUUUUUAUUUUAAAUUUUGUAAAAAUAAAAAAAAAGCUUAGAGAAAAACAUGUUAAGUAUCAGUAAAGGACAGGAAACACAAGGCUAGCUUUACAAUCUAAACAUCUCUAGGAAGGCGCGAGUAAACGGUGAGGGGCAGUGAGCACAGCAAGGGUCUUGCUGCAGUUUCCCUAUUGCACAUAAAGGUUGUAGAUAAUUCCACAUCUUUAUUUUCACAGUUAAAACACUCUUUGUUAUCUUCUAUAAAAUUCUCCCCAAA